RNAcentral lists this ribosomal RNA (1030 nucleotides) under Acinetobacter sp. OPB72. RNAcentral describes it as "bacterial SSU rRNA". It matches the Rfam family "Bacterial small subunit ribosomal RNA", at positions 380 to 1402 of the family's 1533-position model. The record is from RNAcentral. Lineage: Bacteria; Pseudomonadati; Pseudomonadota; Gammaproteobacteria; Moraxellales; Moraxellaceae.
AGCCUGAUCCAGCCAUGCCGCGUGUGUGAAGAAGGCCUUUUGGUUGUAAAGCACUUUAAGCGAGGAGGAGGCUCUUAAGGUUAAUACCCUUGAUGAGUGGACGUUACUCGCAGAAUAAGCACCGGCUAACUCUGUGCCAGCAGCCGCGGUAAUACAGAGGGUGCGAGCGUUAAUCGGAUUUACUGGGCGUAAAGCGUGCGUAGGCGGCUGAUUAAGUCGGAUGUGAAAUCCCUGAGCUUAACUUAGGAAUUGCAUUCGAUACUGGUCAGCUAGAGUAUGGGAGAGGAUGGUAGAAUUCCAGGUGUAGCGGUGAAAUGCGUAGAGAUCUGGAGGAAUACCGAUGGCGAAGGCAGCCAUCUGGCCUAAUACUGACGCUGAGGUACGAAAGCAUGGGGAGCAAACAGGAUUAGAUACCCUGGUAGUCCAUGCCGUAAACGAUGUCUACUAGCCGUUGGGGCCUUUGAGGCUUUAGUGGCGCAGCUAACGCGAUAAGUAGACCGCCUGGGGAGUACGGUCGCAAGACUAAAACUCAAAUGAAUUGACGGGGGCCCGCACAAGCGGUGGAGCAUGUGGUUUAAUUCGAUGCAACGCGAAGAACCUUACCUGGUCUUGACAUAGUAAGAACUUUCCAGAGAUGGAUUGGUGCCUUCGGGAACUUACAUACAGGUGCUGCAUGGCCGUCGUCAGCUUGUGUCGUGAGAUGUUGGGUUAAGUCCCGCAACGAGCGCAACCCUUUUCCUUAUUUGCCAGCACUUCGGGUGGGAACUUUAAGGAUACUGCCAGUGACAAACUGGAGGAAGGCGGGGACGACGUCAAGUCAUCAUGGCCCUUACGACCAGGGCUACACACGUGCUACAAUGGUCGGUACAAAGGGUUGCCACCUAGCGAUAGGGUGCUAAUCCCAGAAAGCCGAUCGUAGUCCGGAUUGGAGUCUGCAACUCGACUCCAUGAAGUCGGAAUCGCUAGUAAUCGCGGAUCAGAAUGCCGCGGUGAAUACGUUCCCGGGCCUUGUACACACCGCCCGUCACAC